RNAcentral lists this long non-coding RNA (369 nucleotides) under Homo sapiens (human). RNAcentral describes it as "LNC_000196". Lineage: Eukaryota; Metazoa; Chordata; Mammalia; Primates; Hominidae. The record is from RNAcentral.
GAUCUGAGAGCCUAAAAGAUCCCUUUUUGAUUUGAAUCCAAGAACUUCUCCAGAUUUUUAAAAAUCGAGUUCUCCAAAGAAGAGGCUGUGAUGUCGUGCACCAGAGAGACAGUCGAGAGCAGCUAGGACAGGCUUUCCGUUGGCAUAAUGGAAACCAUGUGUCCUGUACCAUUAUGGAUUUCUAAUGCUCCGUUGAGAAAAUCAGAAAGCAAUGAGAAUUAAAAAAAAAAAAAAAAAAAGCAUGUUGUACUCAGCCCAAAAGAGAUUAGAAGAGUCCAGAAUGACAUAAGGGCAGAGCACAGGACAUAGGUGACUGAAUGAGUCUUAACAAAGAAGCCAGGUCCAGGAAGAAUCAGAUGGUGGACACAG